Molecule: ribosomal RNA, 481 nt
Filed under: uncultured bacterium
Lineage: Bacteria
Description: partial 16S ribosomal RNA
Rfam family: Bacterial small subunit ribosomal RNA
Source: RNAcentral
GACGAACGCUGGCGGCGUGCUUAACACAUGCAAGUCGAACGCUGAAGCUCAGCUUUUGUUGGGUGGAUGAGUGGCGAACGGGUGAGUAACACGUGAGUAACCUGCCCCCUUCUUUGGGAUAACGCCCGGAAACGGGUGCUAAUACUGGAUAUUCACUGGUCUUCGCAUGGGGGUUGGUGGAAAGGGUUUUUCUGGUGGGGGAUGGGCUCGCGGCCUAUCAGCUUGUUGGUGGGGUGAUGGCCUACCAAGGCUUUGACGGGUAGCCGGCCUGAGAGGGUGACCGGUCACAUUGGGACUGAGAUACGGCCCAGACUCCUACGGGAGGCAGCAGUGGGGAAUAUUGCACAAUGGGCGCAAGCCUGAUGCAGCGACGCCGCGAGGGAUGGAGGCCUUCGGGUUGUGAACCUCUUUCGCUCAUGGUCAAGCCGCAACAAUGGUUGUGGUGAGGGUAGUGGGUAAAGAAGCGCCGGCUAACUACGUG